Bombyx mori (domestic silkworm) is the source of this 1092-nucleotide long non-coding RNA. RefSeq lists it as uncharacterized. NCBI's taxonomy places the organism in Eukaryota, Metazoa, Arthropoda, Insecta, Lepidoptera, Bombycidae. The record is from RefSeq and is a predicted model, not a curated record. The transcript is spliced from 3 exons.
GCCUAAACUUUCUAUUUCUACGCGGUUUUAAUCGUGAAAAAAAAAAACAAAUAUAAAUCCUUAAGGAGCAAUUGAUUGGUAUACAGUUUAAUUAAAAAAAUAAAAAAUAAAUAAAUGAAAUAAUGUACAUUGGCGUAAAGUUAGACCAAAUACAUUUUUUCCAUCCUCCUACCUAUCGUUAUGAACACAGAACACUAUGUUAUGAAGGUAUAAAAAAGAUAGGGAGUUCACAUAGGUAAUAUAAACAAAUAAGUCAAUAAUAUGUUCAUUCUUUAUCUUUCAAGAGAUAAUGUAGGUAUACAUUAUCUCUUGAAAUUCACCUGCAGAUCGUUGAGUCUCACAUACCCCGCGCGCCCCCUAGGCGCGGGGACCUCGUAGGAGGUUCGGCCACCGGCCCGAGAAAAAAAAAAAAAAAAAAAAAAAAAACAGGUUAUGUAUUGAAAGUGUUGGAAAAUUAUUUCAUGUUUUAGCUGGAAAACGACAUUGAGAAUUAUAUGCAAUACAAGAUAAUGGGCUCCAUCUAAUGAAUUCGAAUGAAACCAAACUGUUUACCAUCCAAAUUCGAUUGUCGGGCAGAUAUAAAACGAAAAUUCACUCAAAGUGAACCUCGACCUGCAUUUGUGAAACGGCAAAGACUCACUAUUGUCAAGGAGAUUGAAGAGACGACUAAAAAUGAGAUGUGUUAUAUUAUUAUACCUUUGCCAUCUUGUAGUCAAGAUGUCCAGCCACUUGAAAAUAGGUGUAGUAAUGACAAAGCUAUCCAAGUAGCUCCAGCACAGGAACACAAAGGCAAGGCAAGUGUGUAUUGCCACAUCACCCCUAAAUAUAUCUGAAGCAAGUACAAGUAAACAAUCAGAACCAGCAAAAAGAAAACUGUUGUUCCUGAGGACAAAUUUGACAGUGAUCAGUCAAAUGCACCAGCAACAGAAGGAUCAGCUGUUGAAAGUUAUCUCUCUAUAUCUCCACUCCAUCAAAGACUUGUGCACUUCAUUUAUUGAAAUUAAUAUUAAUGAAUAUUAAUUUAAAUUAUCGUGCGAAUUUUGUGGUCAAAACAUAUAUGUGUAUUUUAUAAAUAAAUAUUCAUUCUCAGUA